Diachasmimorpha longicaudata is the source of this 551-nucleotide long non-coding RNA. RefSeq lists it as uncharacterized. NCBI's taxonomy places the organism in Eukaryota, Metazoa, Arthropoda, Insecta, Hymenoptera, Braconidae. The transcript is spliced from 3 exons. The record is from RefSeq and is a predicted model, not a curated record.
UCGAUCGGUCUGAAGCGUCCAUCUUCAUUACUCCUGUGUUGAUUCGUAUACUGCCGUCUUCGUAUUGGACCAGGCGUCCUUUGCGAUGGAAUUAUCGCAAUUUUCAGUGAGUGUAAAACUUCUGGAAGGAAAAUUUAUUCAGGGCUUUAUGGGAGCGUAGGAAAGGUAUUCAGGAAGUCCUUUUUUCUCCAGUCAUUUUAACAUUUUUUUGGUGAGGCGUGUGGAUUGAAGAACAAAGGGCAUUAUGGGGGAACUAUUUUUCCCACACGGCGCAUGGAGUUUGUAGCAGAAAUGGCGGUAGUAACGAGAAAACGAAGAGUUUGGAGGAGAUGGUACAUGAGCCGAAGCUCGUUCGACUAAGGGGAACAAUAGGUCCGUCGAAAUGGGUUUCAAGAUGCGAUAAUUAAAAUUGAAAAAUAUAAAUGCUCCUGUCUCUGUCCCUAUGCUUCACUGUUAAAAACGAAACGAAAUUUUGUGAACAGAUUUUGAAAAAUUACCUGGGUCUGCAGCAGAAGCAUACUUGAUGCGACCGUGAAGGCAGUGCCCGUGGU